Neoarius graeffei (lesser salmon catfish) is the source of this 1543-nucleotide long non-coding RNA. RefSeq lists it as uncharacterized. The record is from RefSeq and is a predicted model, not a curated record. The transcript has 2 exons. NCBI's taxonomy places the organism in Eukaryota, Metazoa, Chordata, Actinopteri, Siluriformes, Ariidae.
GGGUCACGACUCAUUCGGUUGCAUAUCAACACUUCUGGUCAUGAGAUGACGAGGAAGAGCUGUUACAUGUUGGUCCUGGGAUCGAGAUGCUGAACCUCUUCUGCUCCUCAGACCUGCUUGAUCCAUCCUGGUGCCCUGUGUCUGGUUGGAGUCUCAGCACAUCACUCCUGUGGAGGACAGCCCCAUGAGGACAGUUGAAAGUCACAUGUGGAGGAUGCUCUGGACACUUACAGUAUAGCUUUCUAACUGUAGCUAACCACCUGUGUUUUCUUUCCCUCCCCCCCACCCCAAAUCUGUCCCUCUGAGUUACAUGGAGUCAACAGGAAAUCUUUUGGUGGAGAGGGUGGAGACCUCGACUGGCUAUCGUAGCCUGCAGGGAAUCGGCCGUCAGACAUUCUGUCGCAUGUUCCAGAGCCGGUGAAAUGUAACUGAAUUGUCUUGGCCAGCCCUAAGGGUCCCAUCUGCAUCUCAUCAUUGCUGAGGAGUGUGCUCCCAUCACCCAAUCAAGCAUCCAGCCAGAACAGGUCAUGAUAUAUUUUUUACCAUAUUAACAUGCCAUUGUUGUGUGUUAUGCCUGAUGUAAAGACUCUCGUCUCUGCGAGCCUACCACACAGAUUUAAUACUUGUCAUUUUUAGGGCAUACCUAACAACCUGUGUUUUCUUUCUCUCUCUCCCCCCCCCCCCCCAAUCUGUCCCUCUGAGUUACAUGUUGAUCCUGGGAUUGAGAUGCUGGCCUCUUCUGCCCCUCGGACCUGCUUGAUCCAUCCUGGUGCCCUGUGUCUGGUCGGAGUUUUAUCGCCCCACUCCUAUGAAGGACGGCCCCAUGAGGACAGUUGAGGGUUAUACCUGUUAAAACUGUUAAUAUUAUAGUCAGGCUGUCUGUUGUUGCCCAAAUGAGGAUGGGUUCCCUUUUGAGUCUGGUUCCUCUCGAGGUUUCUUCCUCAUGUCGUCUGAGGGAGUUUUUCCUUGCCACCGUCGCCACAGGCUUGCUCAUUGGGGAUAGAUUAGGGAUAAAAUUAGCUCAUGUUUUAAGUCGUUCAAAUUCUGUAAAGCUGCUUUGCGACAAUGUUUAUUGUUAAAAGCGCUAUACAAAUAAACUUGAUUUUAUUUGAUUUACAGUAAUGCUUUUAUGGCUGAGGACUACAAUUGAGUUGAUAACUUUAGGACUGCAGUCGUCAUGAACAGUUUUGCACUCAAGUUUCCAUCAAUGAAGAGUUUACAACAUCAACGAAACUGACUUCAUGUUAAAACUGUUAAUGUUAUAGUCAGGCUGUCUGUUGUUGCCCAAAUGAGGAUGGGUUCCCUUUUGAGUCUGGUUCCUCUCGAGGUUUCUUCCUCAUGUCGUCUGAGGGAGUUUUUCCUUGCCACCAUCGCCACAGGCUUCAUCAUUGGGGAUAGAUUAGGGAUAAAAUUAGCUCAUGUUUUAAGUCGUUCAAAUUCUGUAAAGCUGCUUUGUGACAAUGUUUUUUGUUAAAAGCACUGUACAAAUAAACUUGACUUGACUUCACAUGUUUUUGUUAAAAAUAAAUAUUUAUUGAUGAGA